RNAcentral lists this ribosomal RNA (497 nucleotides) under uncultured bacterium. Its description in RNAcentral is "partial 16S ribosomal RNA". It matches the Rfam family "Bacterial small subunit ribosomal RNA", at positions 28 to 507 of the family's 1533-position model. The record is from RNAcentral.
GACGAACGCUGGCGGCGUGCCUAAUACAUGCAAGUUGAGCGAUGAAGAUUGGUGCUUGCACCAAUUUGAAGAGCAGCGAACGGGUGAGUAACGCGUGGGGAAUCUGCCUUUGAGCGGGGGACAACAUUUGGAAACGAAUGCUAAUACCGCAUAACAACUUUAAACAUAAGUUUUAAGUUUGAAAGAUGCAAUUGCAUCACUCAAAGAUGAUCCCGCGUUGUAUUAGCUAGUUGGUGAGGUAAAGGCCCACCAAGGCGAUGAUACAUAGCCGACCUGAGAGGGUGAACCGCCACAUUGGGACUGAGACACGGCCCAAACUCCUACGGGAGGCAGCAGUAGGGGAUCUUCGGCAAUGGACGAAAGUCUGAACGAGCAACGCCGCGUGAGUGAAGAAGGUUUUCGGAUCGUAAAACUCUGUUGGUAGAGAAGAACGUUGGUGAGAGUGGAAAGCUCAUCAAGUGACGGUAACUACCCAGAAAGGGACGGCUAACUACGUG